GUUGAAACACCGGUUAUCUUACGGUCACUGAAGUUAAGCAACACCGAAUCUAGUUAGUACCUAGAUGGGUGACCACAUGGGAAUACCAGGUCCUGUAAG
Non-coding RNA from Acanthosepion pharaonis, 99 nucleotides. Lineage: Eukaryota; Metazoa; Mollusca; Cephalopoda; Sepiida; Sepiidae. The record is from the annotation of a GenBank genome assembly.